GCCAUUUUAAUAUGCCAAUUGUAUAUUUUGCAUAGCUAGUACACGUGUUACUUACUAUUAACAAGCUUUAAGAGUGUUUCUUUCUCGUCUGUCAAUAAUCGUCUUUCUUGUACGAUGUGGCUUUCACCUUAAGUUUAUAAUUUUUACACACGAACUGUAUUUAUUGCUCUUUAAUAAAUAGAUUGAUUCAAGUUCAAGAUCUUCCCUCUGUUUAUUCUGUGCCGCUGUGAAUCUGUG
This is a non-coding RNA of Paramuricea clavata, 237 nucleotides long. NCBI's taxonomy places the organism in Eukaryota, Metazoa, Cnidaria, Anthozoa, Malacalcyonacea, Plexauridae. The record is from the annotation of a GenBank genome assembly.